AAUCCUGGCUCAGGAUGAACGCUGACAGAAUGCUUAACACAUGCAAGUCUACUUGAACUUCGGUUUGGGUGGCGGACGGGUGAGUAACGCGUAAAGAACUUGCCUCACAGUUAGGGACAACAUUUGGAAACGAAUGCUAAUACCUGAUAUUAUGAUUUUAGGGCAUCCUAAGAUUAUGAAAGCUAUAUGCGCUGUGAGAGAGCUUUGCGUCCCAUUAGCUAGUUGGAGAGGUAACGGCU
This 239-nucleotide ribosomal RNA is filed under the name uncultured bacterium. RNAcentral describes it as "partial 16S ribosomal RNA". It matches the Rfam family "Bacterial small subunit ribosomal RNA", at positions 15 to 265 of the family's 1533-position model. The record is from RNAcentral.